UGGGGAAUAUUGGACAAUGGGCGAAAGCCUGAUCCAGCCAUGCCGCGUGUGUGAAGAAGGUCUUCGGAUCGUAAAGCACUUUAAGUUGGGAGGAAGGGCAGUAAGCGAAUACCUUGCUGUUUUGACGUUACCGACAGAAUAAGCACCGGCUAACUCUGUGCCAGCAGCCGCGGUAAUACAGAGGGUGCAAGCGUUAAUCGGAAUUACUGGGCGUAAAGCGCGCGUAGGUGGUUCGUUAAGUUGAAUGUGAAAGCCCCGGGCUCAACCUGGGAACUGCAUCCAAAACUGGCGGGCUAGAGUAGGGCAGAGGGUGGUGGAAUUUCCUGUGUAGCGGUGAAAUGCGUAGAUAUAGGAAGGAACACCAGUGGCGAAGGCGACCACCUGGGCUCAUACUGACACUGAGGUGCGAAAGCGUGGGGAGCAAACAGG
This 429-nucleotide ribosomal RNA is filed under the name Pseudomonadota bacterium. RNAcentral describes it as "Proteobacteria bacterium partial 16S ribosomal RNA". It matches the Rfam family "Bacterial small subunit ribosomal RNA", at positions 355 to 776 of the family's 1533-position model. The record is from RNAcentral. Lineage: Bacteria; Pseudomonadati; Pseudomonadota.